AGAAGAAGCACCGGCUAACUACGUGCCAGCAGCCGCGGUGAUACGUAGGGUGCGAGCGUUGUCCGGAUUUAUUGGGCGUAAAGAGCUCGUAGGUGGUUUGUUGCGUCGGGAGUGAAAACACGCAGCUUAACUGUGUGCUUGCUUUCGAUACGGGCAGACUUGAGGGAGGUAGGGGAGAACGGAAUUCCUGGUGGAGCGGUGGAAUGCGCAGAUAUCAGGAGGAACACCGGUGGCGAAGGCGGUUCUCUGGACCUUUCCUGACGCUGAGGAGCGAAAGCGUGGGGAGCAAACAGGCUUAGAUACCCUGGUAGUCCACGCCGUAAACGGUGGGCACUAGGUGUGGGGGACAUUCCACGUUCUCCGUGCCGUAGCUAACGCAUUAAGUGCCCCGCCUGGGGAGUACGGCCGCAAGGCUAAAACUCAAAGGAAUUGACGGGGGCCCGCACAAGCGGCGGAGCAUGCGGAUUAAUUCGAUGCAACGCGAAGAACCUUACCUGGGUUUGACAUGCACCAGACGACAGCAGAGAUGUUGUUUCCG
This 538-nucleotide ribosomal RNA is filed under the name uncultured bacterium. Its description in RNAcentral is "bacterial SSU rRNA". It matches the Rfam family "Bacterial small subunit ribosomal RNA", at positions 483 to 1017 of the family's 1533-position model. The record is from RNAcentral.